This 772-nucleotide long non-coding RNA is filed under the name Ananas comosus (pineapple). RNAcentral's name for it is "long non-coding RNA (ACOM_LNC020160)". The record is from RNAcentral. Lineage: Eukaryota; Viridiplantae; Streptophyta; Magnoliopsida; Poales; Bromeliaceae.
UAUAUAUAUAAUUUUAUUUCUAAAUAUAUAUUUAGUUAAUAUAUAUAGUAUUAUAUUUUUAUAAUAUGGAUAUAUUAUUAUAUAAUAAUUUAUUAUAUAAUAUACUACUUUAUAGAGGAUUUUAAAUUUCUGAAUAAUAUUGUAAAAUGUGCACUCCUAAUAGAGUGUGCCAAUAGUAUUAUUCAAAAAUUAUAAUAGUGGAAACUGAAAAAAUUCAUGUUAGAAACGAAAGGUGCAGCUUUAUUCAAAAUAAAAAUAAUUUUUCUUAAAAUAUGCUAUAUCAGUUUGUGCUAGUGUUAAAUCCUACUUCCAAACCAAAUCAAAACCAAAUAAAAUAAAUUUGUUCAAUCUAUAUGCUACCUACGAAAUCGAAUUUAUUGUCGUUUGGUCCUCAGUUUGCAUCCAAACUUGAACACACCAACUUUUUUCCCCUUUUCCCCCUCUUUUUUAAUUCUUUUUGUUUUGUUCAGAAUAAUCUUAGAUCACAUUCAAAAAAUAAAAAAUUUAAUUUAAAAUUUAAAAUUUAAUUUUAAAUUAAAAAUUAAAUUUUAAAGCGAAUAUCCUUUGAUAUUACUGACUUUACAAUUUAUGUGCUAUUUACUAUAUAAUUUAAAAUUUUUAAAAAUUUACAUAGAUUUCCCGCUGCGUAGCGCGGGCCUUUACUAGUAUCAUUAAAGGGUGAACCCUUAACCCUUUUGCUGCGUUCUCCGUGAUUUCGGGUCUCUCCCUUAACCCCUUUCCUGCGUUCUCCGCGAUUUCGGACCUCCCGCAC